UGUAAGCGUAUACCAAAGUUGUUGCAGUUAAAAAGCUCGUAGUUGGAUUUCGGAUGGGAUUUGCCGGUCCGUCGUUACGAUGUGCACUGGCCAGUCCUAUCUUGUUGUCGGGGACUAGCUCCUUGGAUUCACUUCCUGGGACUAGGAGCUGACGAGGUUACUUUGAGUAAAUUAGAGUGUUCAAAGCAAGCCUACGCUCUGAAUACAUUAGCAUGGAAUAACACGAUAGGACUCUGGCUUAUCUUGUUGGUCUGUGAGACCAGAGUAAUGAUUAAGAGGGACAGUCGGGGACAUUCGUAUUUCAUUGUCAGAGGUGAAAUUCUUGGAUUUAUGAAAGACGAACUUCUGCGAAAGCAUUUGUCAAGGAUGUUUUCAUUAA
Molecule: ribosomal RNA, 379 nt
Filed under: uncultured eukaryote
Lineage: Eukaryota
Description: partial 18S ribosomal RNA
Rfam family: Eukaryotic small subunit ribosomal RNA
Source: RNAcentral